GCGGGUGUCGUAUAACGGUAUUAUAUGACCUUCCCAAGGUUGAGAACGGAGUCCGACUCUCCGCACCCGCACCA
This 74-nucleotide transfer RNA is filed under the name Candidatus Nomurabacteria bacterium. Its description in RNAcentral is "tRNA-Gly". It matches the Rfam family "tRNA". From Rfam's summary of the family: Transfer RNA (tRNA) molecules are approximately 80 nucleotides in length. Their secondary structure includes four short double-helical elements and three loops (D, anti-codon, and T loops). Lineage: Bacteria; Candidatus Nomuraibacteriota. The record is from RNAcentral.